UACGUAGGAGGCAAACGUUAUCCGGAUUUACUGGGCGUAAAGCGCGUGUAGGUGGUUCUGUAAGUAGGGCGUGAAAGCUCCCGGCUCAACUGGGAGAGGCCGUUCUAAACUGCAGAGCUAGAGGAUGGUAGAGGGAGGUGGAAUUCCAGGUGUAGCGGUGAAAUGCGUAGAUAUAGGAAGGAACAUCAGUGGCGAAGGCGACCACCUGGACUGAUACUGACACUGAGGUGCGAAAGCGUGGGGAGCAAACAGGAUUAGAUACCCGCGUAGU
RNAcentral lists this ribosomal RNA (271 nucleotides) under uncultured prokaryote. RNAcentral's name for it is "partial 16S ribosomal RNA". It matches the Rfam family "Bacterial small subunit ribosomal RNA", at positions 524 to 794 of the family's 1533-position model. The record is from RNAcentral.